Molecule: long non-coding RNA, 768 nt
Organism: Chroicocephalus ridibundus (black-headed gull)
Lineage: Eukaryota; Metazoa; Chordata; Aves; Charadriiformes; Laridae
Exons: 5
Source: RefSeq, a predicted model, not a curated record
CACGGGCGGCCGCCUGCGGUACGCUCUGGUGGGAUGGAGGGCUUCGGCUGAGAAUCCUGAGUGGCAGAAAUGCUCCUAAAGCAAGAAGUACUUCAAACUUUGGAAGAUGGAGGUGUGUCAAAAAGAUGCAACCCUUCCCAAAGUAAAUGGCAUAACAGAACCGGGAAGGGGGAGGAGCUGUGCAAUGUGGGUCACCAAGGGCAGGGAAAAGAACUGAAUGGUUUAUGGAGAAGGGGAGCAGCAUGGAGGGAUUCCUUAUGUGUCAUGUUUGAGGAAAGGACUUGCCAUUGUCAUCCAGGAUGUUCUGUAACUGCUCUGGAAAAGGAUUCUGGUUGGGCUGUGGGCUCUGUCCAAGGUCAGCUUCAAGUCAGUGGAACAAAUCCUACCCUUGCCUCUUGGGAGGUGAUGCCUAUGGAUACUUUGCUGGUCCUCACAGGGAAGGGUGCUGCUUCACUGAGACCACGUUGCUAGAGGAAGACAGCAGCGAGAGAGGUGGGGAAACUGAGUCACAGAGAGAAGAGAUGGUGUCACUUAGUUCACCUGUUACGGAUAGUGGAAGAGGUGACACUGAGAUCCUGGCUGGCUAAACUCUGUUUGGGAGGCUCAUUCUCUGGAUUGCCACCCGUUCCUGAAAACCUGAGGCAUGAAGGCAUGAUUGUCCCACUUCACUCACCUCUUCUGCCUGGCUUGCUGAUCCAGUCUCCUGGAAGGUCUUUCUGAGUCACUUGUACCCUCCAGAACCUCUUACCAAUCUACACAAGCUCAUUU